AUGACCGAAGACCAGCUAUUUAAGCCAGACGGAGACCUCAACCACAGUUGCACCCCAUUUCCUCUCUGUCUUCCUCCCCUUCGCGCCGCCACUCACCCAUCCACUCGCGUCCACUGCUACCCGCUAGCCAUGGCCCGCCGGAAGGUCACCACCUAUGCCAUGCUCACGCUGAAGGGGCGCCUAGAAUUGAUUGAGGAGAUCCUGGCUAAGAGCAAAGCCCGGAUCGCAGCCGGCCUGCCUCCGGACUCGCCGAACCCAGAGGAGGAGGAGGACGCAGAGGCGGAGCUGGAGCAGGACGCGGACAUGGAGGAUGUGCAACCGUAA
Molecule: ribosomal RNA, 324 nt
Filed under: Triticum aestivum (bread wheat)
Lineage: Eukaryota; Viridiplantae; Streptophyta; Magnoliopsida; Poales; Poaceae
Description: partial small subunit ribosomal RNA
Source: RNAcentral